GAGUGGUGUUUGGUUUGAUACGGGUGGUUGGCUCCCUGCUUGAGCAGGCACGGCCAUGCGUACAAUCCUUUUCAGUUGUGCGGCAAGGCUUAUAUUGUCUUGAUCGUAUAUGUGGGUUUCUUGUGUUGCAUACCUGAUCGAUGGCAUCGCUUUGAUAAAACUAUACCUUUUUCGUCAGGCGUUGCACCCGCAACGUCGGAUGAACCACGUGGCCUCCUCUUUGAUCCAUACAGUCGAUGGCAAUUCGUUGAUUGUUUGGCCCUUUGAGGGCGGUUUGGUCUCUCGGAUAUGGAAGCCAAAGUGGGCAUGGGUUCGUAUGAUCCUCUUAUUGCCUUCGUUGAGCGUUCUCGCUUCUCUUACACGACCGCCUUUCACGUAUGGCAUGUCCCAGCGUGUUUGGCUACGUCGAAGAGGAAUGUACCUGGUUGAUCCUGCCAG
RNAcentral lists this unclassified non-coding RNA (438 nucleotides) under Grangea maderaspatana. Its description in RNAcentral is "partial external transcribed spacer". Lineage: Eukaryota; Viridiplantae; Streptophyta; Magnoliopsida; Asterales; Asteraceae. The record is from RNAcentral.